AAAUGUGAAUCCAGUGGUGAAUCUGCCAGUUUCCUUGCUUGCUUGUGGGACAUGCCCACCCCCCUCCCACAACUGUCAAGUUCUGUGUUGUGUCAAGGAUUCGUUGAACACUCAGGACUCCAAAGGUGGUACAAAUCCCAUCCUCCCAGUGAAGGAAUCAUCAAUGGCCCCAUUUUGCAUGGGGAGACUCCCAUUUCUUUUUCUCAUGCUGAUGUGUGAAAAAUAAGAAGUGAUCCUCUGAUUGAAUCAGAGUCAUUGUUGGAGAGCCUGAAUGGUCAUCAUAGGAACCUCCAUAACUUGGACUGCUACAUGUCCCAUGAAUAUAGAGGAAGAAAGUCAAGCGAGCACAAGAAGCUGCUGAGCUGGGAGCACACAUCCAGCUUGAACUGUGGUGGAACUUAUGACACCGGGGCACUGGUACUGAUAUUUAUGCUCCAGAGAGAAGCCUGUUCCUUAGAAACCAGGCCAUGAUCAACUGCAAGAUAUACCUUGAGUGCAAAGAAGUGCAGAUAUGAGAAAAAUACAUCCUAUAAACCUGAAGUAUA
Peromyscus eremicus (cactus mouse) is the source of this 545-nucleotide long non-coding RNA. RefSeq lists it as uncharacterized. The record is from RefSeq and is a predicted model, not a curated record. Lineage: Eukaryota; Metazoa; Chordata; Mammalia; Rodentia; Cricetidae. The transcript is spliced from 3 exons.